Non-coding RNA from Potamilus streckersoni, 73 nucleotides. NCBI's taxonomy places the organism in Eukaryota, Metazoa, Mollusca, Bivalvia, Unionida, Unionidae. The record is from the annotation of a GenBank genome assembly.
GCUUUGGUGGUAUAGUGGUUAGAGCAUUUGUCUCAGAAGCAGGUGGUGGCAGGUUCAAACCCCAGCCAAGUCA